Molecule: ribosomal RNA, 404 nt
Filed under: Actinomycetes bacterium
Lineage: Bacteria; Bacillati; Actinomycetota; Actinomycetes
Description: Actinobacteria bacterium partial 16S ribosomal RNA
Rfam family: Bacterial small subunit ribosomal RNA
Source: RNAcentral
UGGGGAAUAUUGGACAAUGGGCGCAAGCCUGCUCCAGCCAUGCCGCGUGAGUGAUGAAGGCCCUAGGGUUGUAAAGCUCUUUCACCGGUGAAGAUAAUGACGGUAACCGGAGAAGAAGCCCCGGCUAACUUCGUGCCAGCAGCCGCGGUAAUACGAAGGGGGCUAGCGUUGUUCGGAUUUACUGGGCGUAAAGCGCACGUAGGCGGACUAUUAAGUCAGGGGUGAAAUCCCGGGGCUCAACCCCGGAACUGCCUUUGAUACUGGUAGUCGUGAGUUCGAGAGAGGUGAGUGGAAUUCCGAGUGUAGAGGUGAAAUUCGUAGAUAUUCGGAGGAACACCAGUGGCGAAGGCGGCUCACUGGCUCGAUAAUGACGAUGAGGUGCGAAAGCGUGGGGAGCAAACAGG